AGUGAACGCUGGCGGUAGGCCUAACACAUGCAAGUCGAACGGCAGCACAGGAGAGCUUGCUCUCUGAGUGGCGAGUGGCGGACGGGUGAGGAAUACAUCGGAAUCUACUCUGUCGUGGGGGAUAACGUAGGGAAACUUACGAUAAUACCGCAUACGACCUACGGGUGAAAGCAGGGGACCUUCGGGCCUUGCGCGAUUGAAUGAGCCGAUGUCGGUUUAGCUAGUUGGCGGGGUAAAGGCCCACCAAGGCGACGAUCCGUAGCUGGUCUGAGAGGAUGAUCAGCCACACUGGAACUGAGACACGGUCCAGACUCCUACGGGAGGCAGCAGUGGGGAAUAUUGGACAAUGGGCGCAAGCCUGAUCCAGCCAUACCGCGUGGGUGAAGAAGGCCUUCGGGUUGUAAAGCCCUUUUGUUGGGAAAGAAAUCCAGCUGGCUAAUACCCGGUUGGGAUGACGGUACCCAAAGAAUAAGCACCGGCUAACUUCGUGCCAGCCGCCGCCGUAA
RNAcentral lists this ribosomal RNA (506 nucleotides) under uncultured bacterium. RNAcentral's name for it is "partial 16S ribosomal RNA". It matches the Rfam family "Bacterial small subunit ribosomal RNA", at positions 29 to 523 of the family's 1533-position model. The record is from RNAcentral.